CGCCUUGCCAGCCCGCUCAGAACUUAAAGGAAGUUGACGGGGCCCGCACAAGCGGUGGAGUAUGUGGUUAAUUCGAUGCAACGCGAAGAACCUUACCUGGUCUUGACAUCCCGGAGACCCUUAGGAAACUAGGGGGUGCUUCCAUCUGGAAGAAUCUGGAGACAGGUGCUGCAUGGCUGUCGUCAGCUCGUGUCGUGAGAUGUUGGGUUAAGUCCCGCAACGAGCGCAACCCUUGCCUUUAGUUGCCAGCAGUUCGGCUGGGCACUCUAAAGGGACUGCCGGUGUUAAACCGGAGGAAGGUGGGGAUGACGUCAAGUCCUCAUGGCCUUUAUGGCCAGGGCUACACACGUACUACAAUGGCCGAUACAAAGGGCAGCGACACUGCGAGGUGAAGCCAAUCCCGUAAAAUCGGUCUCAGUCCGGAUUGGAGUCUGCAACUCGACUCCAUGAAGUUGGAAUCGCUAGUAAUCGUGGAUCAGCAUGCCACGGUGAAUACGUUCCCGGGCCUU
This 509-nucleotide ribosomal RNA is filed under the name uncultured Desulfobulbus sp. RNAcentral's name for it is "bacterial SSU rRNA". It matches the Rfam family "Bacterial small subunit ribosomal RNA", at positions 903 to 1382 of the family's 1533-position model. Lineage: Bacteria; Pseudomonadati; Thermodesulfobacteriota; Desulfobulbia; Desulfobulbales; Desulfobulbaceae. The record is from RNAcentral.